AACGAACGCUGGCGGCAUGCCUAACACAUGCAAGUCGAACGAGACCUUCGGGUCUAGUGGCGCACGGGUGCGUAACGCGUGGGAACCUGCACUUAUGUUCGGAAUAACUCCCCGAAAGGGGUGCUAAUACCGGAUAAUGUCUUCGGACCCAAGAUUUAUCGCCUUUGGAUGGGCCCGCGUUGGAUUAGCUAGUUGGUAGGGUAAAAGCCUACCAAGGCGACGAUCCAUAGCUGGUCUGAGAGGAUGAUCAGCCACACUGGGACUGAGACACGGCCCAGACUCUUACGGGAGGACGCAGUGGGGAAUAUUGGACAAUGGGCGAAAGCAUGAUGAAGCAAUGCCGCGUGAGUGAGGAAGGCCUUAGGGUUGUAAAGCUCUUUUAACCGGGAUGAUAAUGACAGUACCGGGAGAAUAAGCUCCGGCUAACUACGUG
Molecule: ribosomal RNA, 433 nt
Filed under: uncultured bacterium
Lineage: Bacteria
Description: partial 16S ribosomal RNA
Rfam family: Bacterial small subunit ribosomal RNA
Source: RNAcentral